GGCCUCUCUAAAAUGAUCGAUUGUACAGGUCGACCGUAACAGGAUUAAGCUUGCUUCUUUACUGACGAGUGGCGGACGGGUUAAAAAUGUCUAGAAAACUGCCUGAUGGAGAGGAAUAACCACUGGAAAAGGCAGCUAAUACCCCAGAACGUCGCAAGACCAAAGAGGGGGACCUUCGGGCCUCUUGCCAUCGGAUGCGCCCAGAUGCGAAUAGCUAGUAGGUGGAGCAAAGGCUCACCCAGGAGACGAUACCCAGCUGGUCUGAGAGGAUGACCAGCCACACCGGAACUGAGACACGAUCCAGACUCCUACGGGAGGCAGCAGUGGGGAAUAUUGCACAAUGGACGCAAGCCUGACGCAGCCAAGCCGCGUGUAAGAAGAACGCCUUCGGGUUGUAAAGUACUUUCAGCGGGGAGGAAGGCAGCAAAGUUAAAACCCAAACGAAUUGACGGGACCCGCACAAGAAGCACCGGCGAACCACGUGCCAGCAGCCGCGGUAAUACGGAGGAUGCAAGCGCGAAUCGGAAUUACCGGGCCUAAAGCACACACAGACACUUUGCAAAGACAGAAGUGAAACCCCCGGGCUCAACCUGGGAACUACAGCUGAUACUGGCAAGCGUCAGUCUCGUAGAGGGGGGUAAAAUGCCAGGUGAAGCCCCGAAACGAGCACAAACCUGGAGGAAUACCGGUGGCGAAAGCGGCCCCCUGGACGAAAACUCACGCUCAAGUGCGAAACCGCCAGGAACAAACAGGAGGAAAUACCCUGGUAGUCCACGCCGUAAACGACGUCAACUUGGAGGUUGUGCCCUUGAGGCGUGGCUUCCGGAGCUAACGCGUUAAGUCGACCGCCUGGGGAGUACGGCCGCAAGGUUAAAACUCAAAUGAAUUGACGGGGGCCCGCACAAGCGGCGGAGCACGUGGUUGAAGUCGAUGCAACGCGAAGAACCUCACCUGGUCUUGACAUCCACAG
This 970-nucleotide ribosomal RNA is filed under the name Escherichia coli. RNAcentral's name for it is "bacterial SSU rRNA". It matches the Rfam family "Bacterial small subunit ribosomal RNA", at positions 71 to 993 of the family's 1533-position model. The record is from RNAcentral. Lineage: Bacteria; Pseudomonadati; Pseudomonadota; Gammaproteobacteria; Enterobacterales; Enterobacteriaceae.